This 555-nucleotide ribosomal RNA is filed under the name Rhodotorula babjevae. RNAcentral describes it as "eukaryotic LSU rRNA". It matches the Rfam family "Eukaryotic large subunit ribosomal RNA", at positions 62 to 630 of the family's 3401-position model. The record is from RNAcentral. Lineage: Eukaryota; Fungi; Basidiomycota; Microbotryomycetes; Sporidiobolales; Sporidiobolaceae.
AAACUAACAAGGAUUCCCCUAGUAGCGGCGAGCGAAGCGGGAAGAGCUCAAAUUUAUAAUCUGGCCCUUCGGUGUCCGAGUUGUAAUCUCUAGAAGUGUUUUCCGCGUUGGACCGCACACAAGUCUGUUGGAAUACAGCGGCAUAGUGGUGAAACCCCCGUAUAUGGUGCGGACGCCCAGCGCUUUGUGAUACACUUUCAAUGAGUCGAGUUGUUUGGGAAUGCAGCUCAAAUUGGGUGGUAAAUUCCAUCUAAAGCUAAAUAUUGGCGAGAGACCGAUAGCGAACAAGUACCGUGAGGGAAAGAUGAAAAGCACUUUGGAAAGAGAGUUAACAGUACGUGAAAUUGUUGGAAGGGAAACGCUUGAAGUCAGACUUGCUUGCCGGAGCUUGCUUCGGUUUGCAGGCCAGCAUCAGUUUUCCGGGGUGGAUAAUGACGGUUUGAAGGUAGCAGUCUCGGCUGUGUUAUAGCUUUCCGUUGGAUACAUCCUGGGGGACUGAGGAACGCAGCGUGCUUUUUGCGAAAGACUCGUCUUUUUCACGCUUAGGAUGCUGGU